RNA transcript from Solanum pennellii, 1285 nucleotides. It is a transcript of the gene named ribosome-recycling factor, chloroplastic, with no coding region annotated. The transcript is spliced from 12 exons. Lineage: Eukaryota; Viridiplantae; Streptophyta; Magnoliopsida; Solanales; Solanaceae. The record is from RefSeq and is a predicted model, not a curated record.
AAAAUGGAAACUUCUUAUCCAAAAGUUCAGGCUGAAGUCUAAAAUAAAGAAGAAAGAGCUUUUGUCUUUGCAAAAUUCACAGUCCCUUCAACCAUGACGAUAGCUUUGUCGCCUGCAACUCCAGUACGUUUGCUAUGCCAACAGCAACUCACCCGCAAACCUGUCCUCUUUUGCUUUCAAGAUAAAUUUCCUACUUCUGGUAAUGUGGUAUGUUGGUCGGCGUCUGCGAAUUACUCGAGCCUAUGGGUUGGAGCAAGGAGAUUGCAGCCUCUUGUUAAACCAUCUUGGGGAAAGAGAAGUGGAAUUGUGAGGUGUGCAACAAUUGAAGAAAUAGAAGCUGAAAAAUCUUCGAUUGAGAAAGAUGUGAAAGAAAGGAUGGAAAAGACAGUUGAAACUGUUAGGUCAAAUUUCAACUCUAUAAGGACAGGAAGAGCUAGCCCAGCAAUGCUAGAUAAAAUUGAGGUUGAUUAUUAUGGCACUCCAGUCAGCUUGAAAAGCAUAGCACAAAUUAGCACUCCUGAUGCAAGUUCUAUCUUGGUGCAGCCGUAUGACAAAUCCAGUUUAAAGGCUAUAGAGAAGGCUAUUGUCAGCUCCGAUGUUGGUAUGACGCCAAAUAAUGAUGGAGAAGUAAUACGAUUGGCUGUACCCCAGUUGACAUCAGACAGGAGGAAGAGGACUGACAAACUCGAUUUCUUAUCUCAAGUACACGUGACGUUUUCCUAUUCAAGCUACGUGACAGGAAUUAUCCAAAAUUGUUUCUAAACAAGCCGAGGAAGGAAAGGUAGCUAUAAGGAAUAUAAGAAGAGAUGCCUUAAAAGCUUAUGAAAAACUUGAGAAGGAGAAAAAGCUUUCUGAAGACAAUGUGAAGGACCUAUCUAGUGAUUUACAGAAAGUGACAGAUGAAUACAUGAAGAAGAUUGAUAUUGUCUUCAAGCAGAAGGAGAAGGAACUGCUGAAAGUUUGACAACAGUUCUGUUCAAUGUGUAUAUGGAGUUUGUGCAGUAAUGAAGCUUUUCUUGGAAGGUUUAUGUGGUGCAAUAGGCUUGUCACAUACCUUUGUAAAAAAAACUACGUUUAAUUUUCAGUUGUAAAGAUCACUCAGGAACUGGAAUGGUCCCUGUUAAUUUUGUUAGGAAUUUCUUUUUUACACCCAAAAGAAGUUAAAUCUGCUUGUAGCGACAUAAUUUGCACUGCUUGAGGCUGCUGGAUUUUGUAACUACAGGAUUCAGAAUGAAAUCGUACUUGCUGAUGGUAGAAUAUCUACUUUCACUGCUCUUCUUUUGUA